Molecule: long non-coding RNA, 222 nt
Filed under: Nicotiana benthamiana
Lineage: Eukaryota; Viridiplantae; Streptophyta; Magnoliopsida; Solanales; Solanaceae
Description: long non-coding RNA (NBEN_LNC018371)
Source: RNAcentral
CUGACCUACCCAUGCAUUUCCAGAACUCUACCUGGAUCUCGUCAGGCCCGGUCGCUCGACCCCUACUUAUCCUACACAAAGCCCCCAUGACCUCCGCCGCCCUAAUGCGCCUGCAGUACCCAAGGUCUCUAUGUUGCUCUGAAUGCCCCAACUCUCCUAGUUCUAUGUUGCGAUCCCCCUCAUCGUUAAGUAAGUCUCGAAAGUACGUCUGCCACCUCUGCU